RNAcentral lists this ribosomal RNA (433 nucleotides) under uncultured bacterium. Its description in RNAcentral is "partial 16S ribosomal RNA". It matches the Rfam family "Bacterial small subunit ribosomal RNA", at positions 29 to 507 of the family's 1533-position model. The record is from RNAcentral.
AACGAACGCUGGCGGCAGGCUUAACACAUGCAAGUCGAGCGAGACCUUCGGGUCUAGCGGCGGACGGGUGAGUAACGCGUGGGAACGUGCCCUUCUCUACGGAAUAGCCCCGGGAAACUGGGAGUAAUACCGUAUACGCCCUCUGGGGGAAAGAUUUAUCGGAGGAGGAUCGGCCCGCGUUGGAUUAGGUAUUUGGUGGGGUAAUGGCCCACCAAGCCGACGAUCCAUAGCUGGUUUGAGAGGAUGAUCAGCCACACUGGGACUGAGACACGGCCCAGACUCCUACGGGAGGCAGCAGUGGGGAAUCUUAGACAAUGGGGGCAACCCUGAUCUAGCCAUGCCGCGUGAGUGAUGAAGGCCUUAGGGUUGUAAAGCUCUUUCAGCUGGGAAGAUAAUGACGGUACCAUCAUAAGAAGCCCCGGCUAACUCCGUG